GACGAACGCUGGCGGCGUGCUUAACACAUGCAAGUCGAACGAGGUCCAUGCAGUCGCAAGACUGCGGAAGAUCUAGUGGCGAACGGGUGCGUAACACGUGAGAAACCUGUCCCGGUCUCUGGAAUAACAAGUGGAAACACUUGCUAAUACCGGAUGCCGUCUGACCAUCGCAUGAUGGACUGACGAAAGGGCUACCGGAUCGGGAGGGUCUCGCGGCCUAUCAGCUUGUUGGUGGGGUAACGGCUCCCCAAGGCAUCGACGGGUAGCUGGUCUGAGAGGAUGAGCAGAGACACUGGGAGUGAGACACGGCGCAGACUCCUACGGGAGGCAGCAGUGGGGAAUCUUGCACAAUGGGCGAAAGGAUGAUGCAGCAACGCUGCGUGCGGGAAGAAGGCCCGAGGGUUGUAAACCGCUUUCAGCAGGGAAGAAACUGACGGUACCUGUAGAAGAAGGUGCGGCCAACUACGUG
This 469-nucleotide ribosomal RNA is filed under the name uncultured bacterium. RNAcentral describes it as "partial 16S ribosomal RNA". It matches the Rfam family "Bacterial small subunit ribosomal RNA", at positions 28 to 507 of the family's 1533-position model. The record is from RNAcentral.